GGCUGAGUGCCUGUGUAAACACCCUUUGCCAUCCUGCUCUUAAUUUCUCACGGACCCUGAAAUGAGUGUGGGGUUUUUGUGCGGUUUGGUUUUUUUGGAGGGUGGGGGGGUGGGUUUUGGUUUUUUUGGUUUGCUUUUUUUGUUUUGCUUAGUUUUUUGUUUGUUUUUUCAGAAAACACCUUUCUGUUGCUAGUGUGCACAGUGACGUGUUCUCAGCAAAUUUAAUAGUUUGCUGAUGAUGGCCUGUGCAAGAUGUUUUCACAGUUUAAUGAUGACCUUUUAUAACAAUCUGACAUUUUCUGGAGACACAAAUAGUUCAGGUUGACUGUGGAUCAGAUGAGCUCCAGAGGUCCUGCCAACCUCCACCAUUCUGUGAGUCUGGGAUUCUUAGCCUGUCUAACACUAACAAAGAAUAUGGUCCUGUAAACAUGCUGCCAGUUUGCAGCAUCCAUCUUUUCAUUCUGCAGGUAAGUGGUGCAGCUGUAACACAGCCCUUCUGCAAAUACACUUCCCUUCUGCUGAAACAGUGACUCUUCUAAAUCUCUGCCAGCUGCUAUGAGAGUUGGAACGAGGUAUGCUGGGGGUGGUUUUCCUCAGCUUCUUCCUGGGCUACUUAUGAAGUCUGUUGACUUUCUUGAUGUAGCACAUGUAUAAACUCAUGGAAUUUUUAUGACAAGAAAUUAUAUAUAACUAUUCCUCUUAUAAAAGUCUGCCCCUUAUGAAGAGUAACACUCCCAACUAUCAAGAGGGAUUAGCAGAGCCAGGAAAAGGCAGUCUGUAAUUAUGCAUGUACAAAUGGUGCUUGGCGUACUGUUGUAUGAGAGAAAUCUAAUAGGUGUGUUUUGACUUUCUAAGAGCCCAUUUCUAUGAAAGCAUUUUUCCAAGUGGGUUAAACAAUCAACUUGGGUUUUAAAAUAGCUUUAAAUAUGUUCAAGAUAACAAAAUCCGUAUGAAGUGUCCAAAGUGAAAUUUCAAACUUAACGUCGGUUUUGUUGUGAGAGAAAAAAUUGCAUUUCUAGGGAAUAGUUUAUUCUGCAUGUCUCAGA
Long non-coding RNA from Pezoporus occidentalis (night parrot), 1046 nucleotides. RefSeq lists it as uncharacterized. NCBI's taxonomy places the organism in Eukaryota, Metazoa, Chordata, Aves, Psittaciformes, Psittacidae. The record is from RefSeq and is a predicted model, not a curated record. The transcript has 3 exons.